This 253-nucleotide ribosomal RNA is filed under the name uncultured bacterium. Its description in RNAcentral is "partial 16S ribosomal RNA". It matches the Rfam family "Bacterial small subunit ribosomal RNA", at positions 524 to 776 of the family's 1533-position model. The record is from RNAcentral.
UACGUAGGGUGCAAGCGUUAAUCGGAAUUACUGGGCGUAAAGCGUGCGCAGGCGGUUUUGUAAGACAGAUGUGAAAUGCCCGGGCUUAACCUGGGAACUGCAUUUGUGACUGCAUGGCUAGAGUUUGGCAGAGGGGGGUAGAAUUCCACGUGUAGCAGUGAAAUGCGUAGAUAUGUGGAGGAACACCGAUGGCGAAGGCAGCCCCCUGGGUCAAGACUGACGCUCAUGCACGAAAGCGUGGGGAGCAAACAGG